Non-coding RNA from Zootermopsis nevadensis, 324 nucleotides. NCBI's taxonomy places the organism in Eukaryota, Metazoa, Arthropoda, Insecta, Blattodea, Termopsidae. The record is from RefSeq and is a predicted model, not a curated record.
GUCUGUAAUUCUCAACAGACAAUUAUCACAAAGCUGACAGGCAAAUGCUCAUUGUCUAUCAAGGUUUUAGCAUUAACAGACAGGAACAAGACAGCAUGUAAAAUAUUUGUGCACAAGCCCUACUGUGGAGGAGAACCAAGAUACUGGAUACCUCCCAUGCACACAAACUGUCCAUCAACCAAGAUGGCCAACCUGUUACAUAGUGCUUCACACUCCUCCAUGCUACAACACAAAAUAUUGAUAUAAUAUGCAGGAAAAAAUAAUGAAUAUUAGCAGAAAAGCCAAAACUUUUAGAGAGCAAUAAAAAAAUUAGCUGAACAAAAA